Long non-coding RNA from Varroa destructor (honeybee mite), 1138 nucleotides. Lineage: Eukaryota; Metazoa; Arthropoda; Arachnida; Mesostigmata; Varroidae. The record is from RefSeq and is a predicted model, not a curated record.
GUCGAAUUGCACAUCUACCCUGAACCUCCCAUCGGUAAUUGAAGAGAGCCAGACGUUUUCGGAGCGUUAUCAUGAAAUUCUGUCGGUCGGUUUUGUGUCGGCGGUAGCCCAUUUUUCACAGGCGACGACGAAAGAUUCUUCAGCAAAAUGAGAAACUCGCGAUGGACACGCGACGCUAAUGCACGACAGGGACGAAAAAACGGACGAAGAAGAGUUGCUGAGAAGGCAUAGUGGGCUGGAGGACCAAGUGGUGACACAACGGAUGAUUCCACCGAUCUGUAACAGCAGGUUAUAAUGGUAUAUCGUAUGUACAUCUCAGUGGAAGUGCGCGGCCGUUUAGAUUUUAAGGCCCGAGAUUUCGAUGGUGCACAUGCCAGGGUAGCGAGCGAACAACAUAUGCUUUCCUCCUUGAGUCGUUCGUAUUAAAAGGUUGUAGCUGACGUGGCGUACCUUUCCACCAGGGUCGCGUCAAAGGUGACAUGCUCAACCCUGCGGACCUCGUGGGUCUUAAAGAAUGAGUGUAGGACGUAUCAAGGAGUUUAUACCUGAUUAAUGAGCCUUCAGGCUCAUUUAAGAGUUAAGCAUCAGACGGCAGCGCCCCAAUGAAUCGUUAUUCUACUGGAUCUCGUCUAGUGGUGGUGGUCUACGUAACUGGAAAUCGUAUGAUCAUGACUAGUAGUUACUGAUGGAUCAGUGAAACGAAUUGGCUGAAAAAUUUUGUUCAUAAGGGAAGGGAACGCUCUCUCAGAGCGCGUGUUUUUUUCUAGGUCAAUUGGUCGCUCGGAGAACCGAUACUGAAACGUCACCGAUGUUCCUAUCGGGUGAUUCGCAACGAUUGGACGAAGCUUAAAAAUGACAGAUUUUGGACUCGGACGGAAACGAAACGCUCAGAAAUUAGGCGAAACAAAGGGCGACUUUCUACAUGCUUCGGCAUCUACCUAAAGGUGCAUCUGACUUCAGCCGAACAAGUGGUUACUAGAAAUAUAUCAGAACAAAAAAAGUUGCGUCAAAAAUGAACUGUCUUCAUAAAUGAUCGAGUAAAUUAUGGUUCGGGUUUGCAAAUUUCGAAGACGAUAGUCACGCAUCUGCUGAACGUGGCCAAGGAACUGUUCUCGAAGCCUUUGAUUCUGAUUCGCUG